GAGAAAGCAAACCGCAAGGGUAGGUAGUGGGUGAAGCGGGGAGCAAGUUCUCUGCGUCGAGCGGGGUUGGCGUGGUGACUCCUUCCCUCGCCCGCUAAAAGGGCAAUCGUCCGUUUGGACGCAGAGAUGAAGAGUGAGUACCUCAAGACGCAGCAGGCCGUUGUGUGGUCGCGUCGGUUCUCUCUACUGUACGCGUUCGGAGUAUGGACGAUCAUUGGCUUUUUCGCUAUGCGGUCGAUGCGUUUCAGGGAGAUACCACCGAAGGAGGAGGAGAAGGGCGGGCAGUCGCCGCCGCCGCCGCCACUCGAUAACCACUAGGAAUAUUCCAGAAGUGUUUCAUAGGAGCAGAAGAUCAAGACAGAAACUGGAUUCAUGUUAACAGCAACAACUAGUUCUUCAGAUUUUGUGCCAUAUUCUUCUAGUUUGUAUAAUCAAGUGCUGUCGCUUUUUUAUGACAAUGCUGGGAAAGAAAAGUAAAUUAUGUUGAAAAAAGGAGUAUUACAGUGUCUAUAACUUUCAUUAAAGAAUUGUAUGAGAUCCAGCUUUAACAGUAAUUGGAAAGUUCCAUGUUCUGUCAGCCUAUUAUGAAUCUGUAAUACUACUUUACCAUCAUGGAUUUGAAUAUAUUGAAUAUAAUUUUUUAUAUUUUUCUUUUAUGUAUAGUUUAUUUUUAAUACCUUUUCCUGAAAUUCUGCUAGCGUGUGCCUGAAAUGACAGAGAAGAUAAAUGUGAUUGAUUCCUUAUUUCCUCUUCGGGAAUCCAUCCAUAAACAUUUUUCCCAUAGAGAAAAUAAUUGUUUUGAAGAAGAGAGAACUUCUCUAGCACUUACCUCUGAUGUUGGAGUUGGAGGAAAGGUGUUUGAUAGUUUCUGAGUGCGGUGGAAGCAACUUUUGUUCCUACAGGUCUGGUUCCCAGAUACAAUUCAGUCUAGCUUCUACACACUUCUGGUUUCACAACAAGAAAUACAUUUAACUUUUUUAAACAAGAGUUUAUAAAGGCAUAUAUUUUGGACUGUUUUUUAAAAAUCUAUGGUGGCAUAUUCCUUACUGUAAGAUGAGUUUAGCCUGUCAUCCUCACCCCUACCUAUUUCAUUUUUCCACAUACCUGUAAGGUAGUGGAACAAUUUUAAAAAAGAUGCUGUAGCUUUGUGUUUUCUCUGGGUCUGAAUAACACAAGGUAUAGAUCAACAAUGCUGAGUACAAAGUGUAGUUAAGGUACUCUGUCUUAAUAUUUUGCCCAAGGUUGUCUUUAAAUUAACUGGUUUAAUAUGCUGUGUAUACACCAUGCAUUUUGCUUGUUACUAACAGAAGAGUUGUGCAGUGGUGUGAGGACUGAUAUAGAAAAGAAUUAAGCAUAAGAAAAAGCUGAAGCAAACACAUCUGUAAAGGGUCUGCCAAAUCAUGAUAUAUUUAUGAGCUGUGUUGCCACUUUAUACCUGUGAGCAUUUACUUGAUUAUUUGAUGGAAGCUGGCAUUUUUAGAAAUUACAGUAGAUCAACCUCAAGUUGAAGAUAUUUAGUGUAUUUUUGGUUUUAAACAAUGUUUUGUUUUAAACAAUGAUACAAGCAAAAUGGAAAAGUGAAAUUGAUUUUCCAGUGUUGUAUAAUGAUUAAUAAACAAUAUGAUCUUAAAA
Python bivittatus (Burmese python) is the source of this 1632-nucleotide non-coding RNA. The record is from RefSeq and is a predicted model, not a curated record. NCBI's taxonomy places the organism in Eukaryota, Metazoa, Chordata, Lepidosauria, Squamata, Pythonidae.